This 691-nucleotide ribosomal RNA is filed under the name Enterococcus faecalis. RNAcentral's name for it is "bacterial SSU rRNA". It matches the Rfam family "Bacterial small subunit ribosomal RNA", at positions 44 to 706 of the family's 1533-position model. Lineage: Bacteria; Bacillati; Bacillota; Bacilli; Lactobacillales; Enterococcaceae. The record is from RNAcentral.
GGGUGCUAUACAUGCAAGUCGAACGCUUCUUUCCUCCCGAGUGCUUGCACUCAAUUGGAAAGAGGAGUGGCGGACGGGUGAGUAACACGUGGGUAACCUACCCAUCAGAGGGGGAUAACACUUGGAAACAGGUGCUAAUACCGCAUAACAGUUUAUGCCGCAUGGCAUAAGAGUGAAAGGCGCUUUCGGGUGUCGCUGAUGGAUGGACCCGCGGUGCAUUAGCUAGUUGGUGAGGUAACGGCUCACCAAGGCCACGAUGCAUAGCCGACCUGAGAGGGUGAUCGGCCACACUGGGACUGAGACACGGCCCAGACUCCUACGGGAGGCAGCAGUAGGGAAUCUUCGGCAAUGGACGAAAGUCUGACCGAGCAACGCCGCGUGAGUGAAGAAGGUUUUCGGAUCGUAAAACUCUGUUGUUAGAGAAGAACAAGGACGUUAGUAACUGAACGUCCCCUGACGGUAUCUAACCAGAAAGCCACGGCUAACUACGUGCCAGCAGCCGCGGUAAUACGUAGGUGGCAAGCGUUGUCCGGAUUUAUUGGGCGUAAAGCGAGCGCAGGCGGUUUCUUAAGUCUGAUGUGAAAGCCCCCGGCUCAACCGGGGAGGGUCAUUGGAAACUGGGAGACUUGAGUGCAGAAGAGGAGAGUGGAAUUCCAUGUGUAGCGGUGAAAUGCGUAGAUAUAUGGAGGAA